This 253-nucleotide ribosomal RNA is filed under the name uncultured bacterium. RNAcentral describes it as "partial 16S ribosomal RNA". It matches the Rfam family "Bacterial small subunit ribosomal RNA", at positions 524 to 776 of the family's 1533-position model. The record is from RNAcentral.
UACAGGGGGUGCAAGCGUUAUUCGGAAUUAUUGGGCGUAAAGAGCGUGUAGGCGGUUUCGCAAGUUUGGUGUGAAAUCCCCGGGCUUAAUCCGGGAAGUGCAUUGAAUACUGCGAGACUAGAGUAUAGGAGAGGAUGGCGGAAUUCCUGGUGUAGAGGUGAAAUUCGUAGAUAUCAGGAGGAACAACAGUGGCGAAGGCGGCCAUCUGGACUAUUACUGACGCUAAGGCGCGAAAGUGUGGGGAGCAAACAGG